CUGAAUAUUUUCAGCCUGGAAAAAUAUGACUAUGUGGAGACCCAGAGCUGAGACCCCAGUUCCUGAAAGAUCCACGACUGGAUUCUACCAUUUGUAUGAAGUCAGAAGAUGUCAAGAUGCGGAAAUGGUGAUUUUAAGCUAAGUCACAGAGUUCAGAAAGAAGAGCCGAAUGAGCUGUAGUGUGGGUCUCACACCAAAGGAGCGUCGCCGAGUGAUUAAUAGUGAGGACUGUGCAGUGCUUUCGAAUCCUGCUUUCACCGUUCAAUAGUUGGUAAUUUGGAGCCUGUUCCUUAACCUGGCUG
Galeopterus variegatus (Sunda flying lemur) is the source of this 302-nucleotide long non-coding RNA. RefSeq lists it as uncharacterized. The record is from RefSeq and is a predicted model, not a curated record. The transcript is spliced from 3 exons. NCBI's taxonomy places the organism in Eukaryota, Metazoa, Chordata, Mammalia, Dermoptera, Cynocephalidae.